UCGUAAGCCGGUGAUUGGC
This 19-nucleotide small RNA is filed under the name Bombyx mori (domestic silkworm). RNAcentral describes it as "ovarian small RNA-29087". Lineage: Eukaryota; Metazoa; Arthropoda; Insecta; Lepidoptera; Bombycidae. The record is from RNAcentral.